UACGUAGGGUGCGAGCGUUAAUCGGAAUUACUGGGCGUAAAGCGUGCGCAGGCGGUUUUGUAAGCCAGAUGUGAAAUCCCCGGGCUUAACCUGGGAAUGGCGUCCGAAACUAUGGGACUGGAGUGUGGCAGAGGGAGGUGGAAUUCCACGUGUAGCGGUGAAAUGCGUAGAGAUGUGGAGGAACACCGAUGGCGAAGGCAGCCUCCUGGGCCAACACUGACGCUCAUGCACGAAAGCGUGGGGAGCAAACAGG
Molecule: ribosomal RNA, 253 nt
Filed under: uncultured bacterium
Lineage: Bacteria
Description: partial 16S ribosomal RNA
Rfam family: Bacterial small subunit ribosomal RNA
Source: RNAcentral